UGGCUGAGUGGUAAAGCACUAGGCUUCUGAGCUUGGGGUCCAGGGUUCUAAUCCUGG
Molecule: transfer RNA, 57 nt
Filed under: Biomphalaria glabrata
Lineage: Eukaryota; Metazoa; Mollusca; Gastropoda; Planorbidae
Rfam family: tRNA
About the family: Transfer RNA (tRNA) molecules are approximately 80 nucleotides in length.
Source: Rfam by way of RNAcentral